UAGCGAAUAUUAGUAAUGGGCGAAAGCCUGAACUAGCAACGCCGCGUGUGCGAAGAAGGCCUUCGGGUUGUAAAGCACUUUUUGAGAGGAUGAGGAAGGACGGUACUCUCAGAAUAAGUCUCGGCUAACUACGUGCCAGCAGCCGCGGUAACAUGUAGGAGGCGAACGUUAUCCGGAUUUACUGGGCGUAAAGCGCGUGUAGGUGGUUUGGUAAGUAGGGCGUGAAAGCUCCUGGCUCAACCGGGAGAGGCCGUUCUAAACUGCCGAACUAGAGGAUGGUAGAGGGAGGUGGAAUUCCGGGUGUAGCGGUGGAAUGCGCAGAUAUCCGGAGGAACACCAGUGGCGAAAGCGGCCUCCUGGACCAUUCCUGACACUCAGACGCGAAAGCUAGGGUAGCAAACGG
RNAcentral lists this ribosomal RNA (403 nucleotides) under uncultured bacterium. Its description in RNAcentral is "bacterial SSU rRNA". It matches the Rfam family "Bacterial small subunit ribosomal RNA", at positions 355 to 775 of the family's 1533-position model. The record is from RNAcentral.